Molecule: ribosomal RNA, 497 nt
Filed under: uncultured bacterium
Lineage: Bacteria
Description: partial 16S ribosomal RNA
Rfam family: Bacterial small subunit ribosomal RNA
Source: RNAcentral
GAUGGACGCUGGCGGCGUGCCUAAUACAUGCAAGUCGAGCGAACAGACGAGGAGCUUGCUCCUCUGACGUUAGCGGCGGACGGGUGAGUAACACGUGGAUAACCUACCUAUAAGACUGGGAUAACUUCGGGAAACCGGAGCUAAUACCGGAUAAUAUAUUGAACCGCAUGGUUCAAUAGUGAAAGACGGUUUUGCUGUCACUUAAAGAUGGAUCCGCGCCGCAUUAGCUAGUUGGUAAGGUAACGGCUUACCAAGGCAACGAUGCGUAGCCGACCUGAGAGGGUGAUCGGCCACACUGGAACUGAGACACGGUCCAGACUCCUACGGGAGGCAGCAGUAGGGAAUCUUCCGCAAUGGGCGAAAGCCUGACGGAGCAACGCCGCGUGAGUGAUGAAGGUCUUCGGAUCGUAAAACUCUGUUAUUAGGGAAGAACAAAUGUGUAAGUAACUAUGCACGUCUUGACGGUACCUAAUCAGAAAGCCACGGCUAACUACGUG